Molecule: transfer RNA, 65 nt
Filed under: Hyriopsis bialata
Lineage: Eukaryota; Metazoa; Mollusca; Bivalvia; Unionida; Unionidae
Description: tRNA-Arg
Source: RNAcentral
ACAAAGACAAGCAUGCAAGCGACCACGGUUUCGGCCCGUGCCAAGGGUCUACGACCCUCUUUGUU